RNAcentral lists this ribosomal RNA (321 nucleotides) under uncultured eukaryote. RNAcentral's name for it is "partial 18S ribosomal RNA". It matches the Rfam family "Eukaryotic small subunit ribosomal RNA", at positions 1470 to 1796 of the family's 1831-position model. The record is from RNAcentral.
CCCUUAGAUGUCCUGGGCUGCACGCGCGCUACACUGACACGUUCAACGAGUUUUGCCUGCUCCGAUGGGACUGGGUAAUCUUAUGAAAGCGUGUCGUGAUGGAGAUAGAUUAUUGCAAUUAUUAAUCUUCAACGAGGAAUUCCUAGUAAGUACAAGUCAUCAGCUUGUGCUGAUUACGUCCCUGCCCUUUGUACACACCGCCCGUCGCUCCUACCGAUUGGGUGAUCCGGUGAAUAACUCGGACUGCAGCUAUUCGGGAGACCGUUAGCUUGUGGAAAGUUUAGUAAAUCUUAUCACUUAGAGGAAGGAGAAGUCGUAACA